Molecule: ribosomal RNA, 494 nt
Filed under: uncultured bacterium
Lineage: Bacteria
Description: partial 16S ribosomal RNA
Rfam family: Bacterial small subunit ribosomal RNA
Source: RNAcentral
GACGAACGCUGGCGGCGCGCUUAACACAUGCAAGUCGAACGGAAAGGCCUGCUUUCCCUUGUGGUGUGCGGGUACGCGAGUGGCGAACGGGUGAGUAACACGUGAGUGAUCUGCACUCAACUUGGGUAUAAGCCUGGGAAACUGGGUCGAAUACUCGAUAGGACUGCAGGGUGGUGCCUGUGGUGGAGAACGAUUUUCUAGUGGUUGGGGCUGCGCUCGCGGCCUAUCAGCUUGUUGGUGGGGUAAUGGCCUACCACGGCGGCGACGGGUAGCCGGCCUGAGAGCGUCGACGGUCGCACUGGGACUGGGUCACGGCCCAUACUCCUACGGGCAGCAGCGGUUGGGCCGAUUGCACAGUGGGCGGAAGCCUGCUGCAGCGACGCCGCGUUGGGGAUGACGGCCUUCUGGUUGUAAGCUCCUUUCGACCGCGAGGAGUCCACCUGGUUGGGAGGGUGGUGACGGUAGUUGUAGAAGAAGCCCCGGCUAACUACGUG